CGAUCGAGAGGAAAGUCCGGGCUCCACAGGGCACGGUGCUGGGCAAUUCCCAGCGAGGGUAACCUCGGGCAAGCGCAACAGAAAGCAAACCGCCGGAUCUUUUUGGUUCGGUAAGGGUGAAACGGUGAGGUAAGAGCUCACCGGCCGGUUGGGUGACCAGCCGGGCCAGGCAAGCCCCAUCGGGAGCAAGACCAAAUUGGGGACUUAGGCGGCCCGCUUAGUCCCAGGGUUGGUCGCUUGAGCGAUGGAGCAAUCCUUCGCCUAGAGGAAUGGUCGUCGCCUUGGUUUUUCUCGGAAAGCCAAGGAACAGAACCCGGCUUAUCGGUCGCCCGGCCGC
Molecule: RNase P RNA, 337 nt
Filed under: Deltaproteobacteria bacterium
Lineage: Bacteria; Pseudomonadati; Myxococcota; Myxococcia
Description: partial RNase P RNA component class A
Rfam family: Bacterial RNase P class A
About the family: Ribonuclease P (RNase P) is a ubiquitous endoribonuclease, found in archaea, bacteria and eukarya as well as chloroplasts and mitochondria. Its best characterised activity is the generation of mature 5'-ends of tRNAs by cleaving the 5'-leader elements of precursor-tRNAs.
Source: RNAcentral